AGCGAACGCUGGCGGCAAGCCUAACACAUGCAAGUCGAGCGCCCAGCAAUGGGAGCGGCAGACGGGAUAGUAACACGUGGGAACGUACCCUUCAGUUCGGAACAACCCAGGGAAACUUGGGCUAAUACCGAAUACGUCCGUAAGGAGAAAGAUUUAUCGCUGAAGGAUCGGCCCGCGUCUGAUUAGCUAGUUGGUGAGGUAAUGGCUCACCAAGGCGACGAUCAGUACCCGGCCUGAGAGGCGGACGGACACACUGGGACUGAGACACGGCCCAGACUCCUACGGGAGGCAGCAGUGGGGAAUUGUUCGCAAUGGGCGCAAGCCUGACGACGCAACGCCGCGUGGAGGAUGAAGACC
This 357-nucleotide ribosomal RNA is filed under the name uncultured bacterium. RNAcentral's name for it is "bacterial SSU rRNA". It matches the Rfam family "Bacterial small subunit ribosomal RNA", at positions 29 to 416 of the family's 1533-position model. The record is from RNAcentral.